ACUACUUAAAGCGUGCUCCUGUGGGAGCAGCAGGGACAGCCCCUGGGAAUGUGUUGGAAAUGCAGAAUCCAGGGCCCCCCACAGACCUGAACCAGAAUCUGCAUUUUAACAAGAUCCCCAGGGAAUUGCUCUGUAUGCCCUUCGGAGUCACCACAGCUCUGGAGCCCACAGAAGCUGAGAGGGAAAGUGCCCUGGAUUCCUUCACCCUGUGCUUGAAGACACGGCCUGUCUGGCAACAAUAUAGAGUAAAAUAAAUUAAACAUGGAGAAACCCAGAAGAAAAAAAGAAAGCAGAGAAAGCAACAGCAGAGAGGAGAUCUCAGCAAACUUUGGAAGUUGACAGGAAAAUCAGUGGAUGGCCAGAAACCAAAACUUUACACUGACGGGAAGAUCAGAAGAAAGGAACAGAUUUAAACUACUCAACUCUGGGACAGCUCAGAAGUGAGAGGUACUGGGUAAGCACUUCAGAAGCAUAGGUGCAGGGUGGAAGUAAAAGCAAGAGGAAAGUUGAUGGUGCUUGUAAGAAACAGUCAAACCACCAUGCUGCACUCCUCCCCUGGCCCCCCAAACAACCAGGAAUUACCCUGCCCCUCCACAAGUGAAAGCCAGGGUUGAACUAUUAUGGACUCUAAUCUUUGAGCUACUCGCUCUGAUUUAGGGCAAGAUAACAUUCUGUACUAAAAACUCAAGUGGAAACCUACACACUGAACUUCAGAUUUCCAGCCACAAUUCUCUCCCACUCCCACCAUGCCAUGUAUCUGCUCAGAUCCCGUUACACUGGCAGCCAGGCAUAUACUCCCAGGCAGGAGCUAAGACAAUGCAUCAUUACUGGCAAAGUAACCAGCCCCCUCCUCCCCGAUUCUGUAGAUACUGGUAUUUGGAGUUCUCCUGCGAAAAGGCCAGGGACAUCUAGCACCACCCAGCGAGACCUACUCAUUGACAGGUUCCACCCAGGUAGGCAGAAUUUCCAAUGAGCUUUUAGUGCUUGGAACUUAAAUAUGAAUAAACAAAAUCAUCAGAAAUUUGAGGGAAGCUUUUUAGCAUGGAAAACAAAAAGGGAAACAGAAAAAAGAAACUCAGAGGAAACAGAUAAUUCAAGGAAGAAGAAAACUUCAAAAUUAAGGUAUCAUAUCCAUGAAGAAAAACCAGA
This is a long non-coding RNA of Homo sapiens (human), 1149 nucleotides long. RefSeq lists it as uncharacterized. Lineage: Eukaryota; Metazoa; Chordata; Mammalia; Primates; Hominidae. The record is from RefSeq and is a predicted model, not a curated record. The transcript has 2 exons.